This 148-nucleotide small RNA is filed under the name Macaca fascicularis (crab-eating macaque). Its description in RNAcentral is "Metazoan signal recognition particle RNA (ENSMFAG00000053237.1)". Lineage: Eukaryota; Metazoa; Chordata; Mammalia; Primates; Cercopithecidae. The record is from Rfam by way of RNAcentral.
GCUGGGCAUGGUGGGGGGUGCCUGUAAUCCCAGCUACUCAGGAGGCUGAGGCAGGAGAAUCGCUUGAACCCAGGAGGCGGAGGUUGCAGUGAGCCGAGAUCGCACCACUGCACUCCAGCCUGGGAGACAGAGCGAGACUCUGCCUCAA